Molecule: ribosomal RNA, 253 nt
Filed under: uncultured bacterium
Lineage: Bacteria
Description: partial 16S ribosomal RNA
Rfam family: Bacterial small subunit ribosomal RNA
Source: RNAcentral
UACGAAUGGUGCAAGCGUUAUCCGGAUUUACUGGGUGUAAAGGGAGCGUAGGCGGCGCGUUAAGUCUGAUGUGAAAACCCGAGGCUCAACCACGGGAGUGCAUUGGAAACUGGCGUGCUGGAGUGCCGGAGAGGUAAGCGGAAUUCCUAGUGUAGCGGUGAAAUGCGUAGAUAUUAGGAGGAACACCAGUGGCGAAGGCGGCUUACUGGACGGCAACUGACGCUGAGGCUCGAAAGCGUGGGGAGCAAACAGG